CAGCAGUAGCCGCGGGAAUACGUAGGGUGCAAGCGUUAAUCGGAAUUACUGGGCGUAAAGCGUGCGCAGGCGGUGUUGUAAGACUGAUGUGAAAUCCCCGGGCUCAACCUGGGAACUGCAUUGGUGACUGCAGCGCUGGAGUGCGGCAGAGGGGGAUGGAAUUCCGCGUGUAGCAGUGAAAUGCGUAGAUAUGCGGAGGAACACCGAUGGCGAAGGCAAUCCCCUGGGCCUGCACUGACGCUCAUGCACGAAAGCGUGGGGAGCAAACAGGAUUAGAUACCCGUGUAGUCCCUGUCUCUUAUAC
Molecule: ribosomal RNA, 304 nt
Filed under: uncultured bacterium
Lineage: Bacteria
Description: partial 16S ribosomal RNA
Rfam family: Bacterial small subunit ribosomal RNA
Source: RNAcentral